RNAcentral lists this ribosomal RNA (1663 nucleotides) under Cylix sp. z GS-2022. RNAcentral's name for it is "16S ribosomal RNA". It matches the Rfam family "Bacterial large subunit ribosomal RNA". Lineage: Eukaryota; Metazoa; Chordata; Actinopteri; Syngnathiformes; Syngnathidae. The record is from RNAcentral.
CACUUCAAAUCUAGCCCCUACCCAAAGAACAACUAACAAAUAUUAAUAAACCCUCAAACAUUAAAUUAAUAAACUAAACCAUUCUUAAAUCCAAGUAUGGGAGACAAAAAAGAAUAAAAGAGCUAUAGAGUAAGUACCGCAAGGGAAAGAUGAAAAAGAAAUGAAAGAAUUUCACAAGUAUAUAAAAGCAGAGCUCACACCUCGUACCUUUUGCAUCAUGUUUUAGUAAGUCAAAUCAAGCAAAGAGCACUUAAGUUUGAACACCCGAAACUAAGUGAGCUACUUCGAGUCAGCCAAUAUAAUGGGCAAACCCGUAUCUGUGGCAAAAGAUUGGGAAGAACUCCAAGUAGUGGUGACAAACCAACCGAACUUAGUUAUAGCUGGUUUCCUGAGAAAGGGAUAUAAGUUCGGCCCAAUUACUUCUUAAAUCACACGUGUAACACACAUAGGUUAAUGUAAGUAAUAGGAGUAAAUCAAAUGAGGUACAGCUCCUUUGAUAAAGAUACAACUUUACAAGCAGGUUAAGGAUCACAUUAAACAAGGCUAUAGUACCCUAGUGGGCCUAAAAGCAGCCACCUAAGAAGAAAGCGUUAAAGCUCUAGUACUAAAAACCCUAUAUAUUCUGGUAACUUUUCCUAAGCCGCUUCAACUAUCAGGACAUUCUACACAACGUAGAAGAGAUAAUGCUAAUAUGAGUAAUAAGAGGCUUUAAAACCUCUCCUAGCACAAGUGUAAAUCGGAACGAACCCACACCGAAAACUAACGACCCCAACAAAAGAGGGGAUUGUAAAUGAAUAAAAACCAAGAAAACCUAUCAAUCUAAAAUCGUUAACCCCACACAGGAGUGCUCACAAGGAAAGACUAAAAGGGGAAGAAGGAACUCGGCAAACACUACCAGCCUCGCCUGUUUACCAAAAACACCGCCUCUUGCAUAACAAGAAUAAGAGGUCCCGCCUGCCCUGUGACCAUGUGUUUAACGGCCGCGGUAUUUUGACCGUGCAAAGGUAGCGCAAUCACUUGUCUUUUAAAUGAAGACCCGUAUGAAUGGCAUAACGAGGGCUUAACUGUCUCCUCCCCCCAGUCAAUGAAAUUGAUCUCCUCGUGAAGAAGCGGGGAUAUAAACAUAAGACGAGAAGACCCUAUGGAGCUUUAGAUUAUGGUUGAUACUAUAUUGUAACCCUUGUUAAAGGAAUAAGAAGUAGUAAUUCUCCCAAUAUCUUCGGUUGGGGCGACCGCGGGGUAAUAAGAAACCCCCGUGAGGAUUGGGGUAAUAACCCUAAAACCACGAACACCAGUUCUAAGUGGCAAAAAUUUUGACCUUAAGAUCCGGUACUACCGAUCAACGAACCAAGUUACCCUAGGGAUAACAGCGCAAUCCCCUUAAAGAGUCCCUAUCGACAAGGGGGUUUACGACCUCGAUGUUGGAUCAGGACAUCCUAAUGGUGCAGCCGCUAUUAAGGGUUCGUUUGUUCAACGAUUAAAGUCCUACGUGAUCUGAGUUCAGACCGGAGUAAUCCAGGUCAGUUUCUAUCUAUGACAUGCUUUUCUCUAGUACGAAAGGACCGAGAAAAGGGGGCCCAUGCCAAAGGUAAGCCUUAAUACCACCCGAUGAAGACAUCUAAAGUGGGUAUUAAACAUAAUACUGAGCUGAAAACCAUAGCUU